GGUGGCUCAGUGGUAGAGUGCUUGCCUUGCAUGCAUGAGACCCUGGGUUCGAUUCCUCAGUACCA
This is a non-coding RNA of Dipodomys ordii (Ord's kangaroo rat), 65 nucleotides long. The record is from Rfam. NCBI's taxonomy places the organism in Eukaryota, Metazoa, Chordata, Mammalia, Rodentia, Heteromyidae.